UACGUAGGGGGCAAGCGUUGUCCGGAUUUAUUGGGCGUAAAGAGCGUGUAGGCGGCCACGCAGGUCCGUUGUGAAAACUGGAGGCUCAACCUCCAGCUGUCGACGGAAACCGUAUGGCUAGAGUCCGGAAGAGGAGAGUGGAAUUCCUGGUGUAGCGGUGAAAUGCGCAGAUAUCAGGAGGAACACCCGUGGCGAAAGCGGCUCUCUGGGACGGUACUGACGCUGAGACGCGAAAGCGUGGGGAGCAAACAGG
Molecule: ribosomal RNA, 253 nt
Filed under: uncultured bacterium
Lineage: Bacteria
Description: partial 16S ribosomal RNA
Rfam family: Bacterial small subunit ribosomal RNA
Source: RNAcentral